Leucoraja erinaceus (little skate) is the source of this 4888-nucleotide long non-coding RNA. RefSeq lists it as uncharacterized. The transcript is spliced from 2 exons. The record is from RefSeq and is a predicted model, not a curated record. Lineage: Eukaryota; Metazoa; Chordata; Chondrichthyes; Rajiformes; Rajidae.
ACACUGUACGACUCAAUAAAACUCUGUUGUGAUGUGUACUGUUGCCCGGAGCUACACAUGUCCAAUUAAUCUACUUGUCUGUGGCGUAUUCUUAAUCCUAGCAUUCACCCACCCCAACCUUCAAUCAACGCACCUGUUGGAAGGAACAAACUGUUCAUCGGAGACAGGAUACACAUGGCUGUGGUCCAACAUCAGAUUUCUUGGGUUCAGCUUCAGUUUUCCGAUAUGUUCACUGUAAUUCAGAUGUGAUUUUGGUUUGGUUUUUUUUUCAUCUGCGCUGGUUUUUGGACACCUGGCUUAUUUAUGAUGGGGUGUAAUUUUGUGUUUCUUGACGUCUAUUUAAAACGUCAACUCGUGGUUUAAUUGCCAGAACCUUUGCUUCGGUGCGCUACUGAAUUGAGAUUUCACUGGUACUGUCCUCUUGAGACAAGUGUAAAUAUCGAUGAGUUCUUGGAAAUCCUUCGUCAAUGUUAAAUUUGUAGCACAAGGAGUGUGAUACAUCUUGGUUGAACAUUAUUGGUUAUGCAUUGAUGAAAUGUUGAUGAAAUGUAAUUAACAUGUGGACUGGUCAUAAGGUCAUAAGGGAUAGGAGUGGAAUUAGGCCAUUCAGCCCAUCAAGUCUACGCCUUUCAAUCAUGGCUGAUCUAUCUCUCCCUCCUAACCCUUUGCCUUCUCCCCAUAACCUCAUAACAAAUCAAGAAUCUAUCUAUCUCUGCAUUAAAAAUAUCAACUGACUUGGCCUCCACUGCAAAGAAUUCCACACAUAGACCAGAGGAUGACAGACUAAAUACUCCUUCCAAAAAGAAUGUCCUUUAAUUCUGAGGCUGUGUCCUCUGGUCCUAGACUCUCCCACUAGUGGAAACAUCCACUCUAUCCAAGCCUUUCACUAUUGUGUUCGUUCUAAUGAGGUCCCCCUUCAUUCUUCUGAACUCCAGCGAGUACAGGCCACAAUACACAAUACACAAUACAAUACAAUUUAUUUGUCAUAGUGGUUGAAAUGAAAUGUUGUUUCUGCAGUCAUACACACAAGAAAGACCCAAGACACAACACAAUUUACACAAACAUCCAUCACAGCGCAUCUGCUCCUCGCUGUGAUGGAAGGCAAAGACUUAUCUCUCCCCUGCACUCCCCAUUCCCCUCCCAAUGUCAGAGUCAAAGCCCCCGGCGGGCGAUGGUAAUUGUCCCGUGGCCAUUAACACCGCGCUGGGUGAUGCAAGGCCACGCUCCGGGUCUUGGUGUUGGAGCCCCCGGCGGGCGCUAGCAAAGUCCCGCAGCCGUUCCAAGCCGCUCGGGGCGGCGAUGUAAGGCCCCGCUCCAGGUAAUCUUCAACCCUGCAACUCGGGCGGGUGUAGUCGCCGUUGGGGAAGCCCCGAAAAGCGUUCUCCCAGCAGGGACCCGCGGGCUCCCGGUGUCACUGUCCACCAGACCUGCGGUUGGAGCCUCCGAAUCCCCGGGGUCGGGUCGCAGCAGCGCGCCACCUCCGCUCCUCCCGCUCCGAACUCGGCCAGCUCUACGAUGGUGAGUAGGUCCGCAGGCUCUGCGACUGGAGCCCCAGGUCGUUCCUGCUGGAGGCCGCUCCACAGUGCUAGGCUCCAACGACAACGGAGACCCGACAGGGAAAAGGUCGGGUUCUCUGUGCAGGGGAUAGAUUUUUUAAAGUUUCCCCCAACCCCCGCCCCCCACACACACACACAUACACAAAAAAAUAAAUAAAAACUACAUUCAAACGAGACAAAAAAUAAUUAACAAUACAGACGGACUGCAGAGGCCACUGCCACGUGAGUCGUGCCGCCCACUGCCGACAAACGCUCAUCGUAGUUAAACCUGCUCAUUCCUGGUGGGUUUUCUAUUGGCGCCACUGUGGAACCGUUCACAAACUUGUGUCAAAGGUUUAUUGAUCUUGGGUAAACUUCUGGGAUGUAGCAUUUAUAUGUUUUUCUUUAAAAAUGUAUAUUUUUUACUUGAAUGCUUUCAACAAAAAAAGUGGAUGGAUUUCUAUAUUUUUCCAGAAUGUUGUUAGUCAUACCUGUAAAUGCCUUUCAACAUACGCUAGAUGCAGGAAACAUGUUCCUGAUGUUCGGGGAGUCCAGAACCAGGGGACACUUAUAUAAGAAUAAGGCCUUUUAGAAUGAAGUUGACCUGCGCGGGUUUUCUCUGAGAUCUUUGGUUUCCUCCCACAUCCCAAAGCCGUACAGGUUUGUAGGUUAAUUUGGCUUGAUUAAUUGGCCUGAUAAAGGUAUUGGCCUGAUAACAGUAUUCCGGUAAACCUCCUCUGUGUCUUCAUCAAAACCUCAAAACAUCCUUCCUGUAAUGGGGUCAUCAGAAUCCUCACAUAAUACUCCAAAUGUAGCCCGACCAAAGUUGUAUAAAGCUGUAACACGACUUCCUGACUCUUAUACUGACCGAUGAAGGCAAGCACAUCAUAGGUGGUCACGGUGGCGCAGCGGUAGAGUUACUGCCUUACAGCGAAUGCAGCACCGGAGACCAGGGUUCGAUCCCAACUACGGGUGCUCUCUGCACGGAGUCUGUUCCUUCUCCCCGUGACCUGCGCGGGUUUUCUCUGAGAUCUUCGGUUUCCUCCCACACUCAAAAGACGUACAGGCUUGUAGGUUAAUUGGCUUGGUGUAAAUGUAAAAAUUGUCCCGAGUGGGUGUGGGAUAGUGUUAAUGUGUGUGGAUCGCGGGUCGGAGCGGACCCAGUGGGCCGAAGGGCCUGUUUCCGUGCUGUAUCUCUAUACUAAACUAAAUGAGGAAAGACUUUUUCACCCUAAGAGUUGUCAAUUUGUACAAUUCUCUGUCUCAGAAGGCAGUGGAGGCCAAUUCACUGGAUGCAUUCAAAAGAGAGUUAGAUAGAGCUCUUAGAGCUAGCGGAGUCAAGGGAUAUGGGGAGAAGGCAGGAACGGGGUACUGAUUGUGGAUGAUCAGCCAUGAUCACAUUGAAUGGUGGUGUUGGCUCGAAGGGCCAAAUGGCCUCCUCCUGCACCCAUUGUCUAUGUAUCUAUGUGUAUACACAGGAGUUCAUCUGGAACAGAGGCAGGGACUAUUGCAAGGUUUAAGAACAUUUAGAUGUGUGGAUGGAUAGGACAGAUUCAGAGGGAUAUGGGCCAAACUCAGGCAGGUGGGGCUAGUGUAGAUGGGACAUGUUGGUCGACGUGGGCAAGUUGGGCUGAAGGACCUGUUUCCAUGCUGUAUGACUCUUUGACUCAAUGAUGGAUAACCUGAAGCAUGAGUUUGAAUCUCACCACAUCCACUGUGGAAACGCAACACACUUGAUGCCGUGGAACCUUUCCCCUGGUACAGUGUUGAUGCAGUCAGUCCUAUAACUGAGGUCCUGAACUCCAGUGCUGCCUGUGUGGAGUUUGCACAGUCUCCCCCGGGAUUGGUUGGGUUUCCGACGGGCACCCCACUUUCUUCCUAUUCCCGCCCGAUUUCGGCCCGAAACGUCGCCUAUUUCCUUCGCUCCAUAGAUGCUGCUGCACCCGCUGAGUUUCUCCAGCACUUUUGUCUACCUUCGAUUUUCCAGCAUCUGCAGUUCCUCCUUAAACACCUGUUUCCGUGCUGUAUCUCUAAAUGUAACUAAACUAAAGAAAGGUAGAUCAGCCGUGAUUGAAUGGCUUAGUAGACUCGAUGGGCCGAAUGGCCUUAUUCUGCUUCUAUCACUUAUGAAAAUGCUGGAGUAACUCAGCGAGUCAGGUAGCAUCUCUGGAGAAAAGGGAUUGGUGACCAUUCCAGGUCUGAAGAAGGGUUCCGAUCACCCGUUCCUUUUCUCCAGAGACCCAUUGUGCUACUCCAGCAUUUGGAGUCUUACCUUUAGAAGGAGAGGAGAUUUGUACAGAAAUUAUGGAAUCUGCGUGGUCUUUACCUAGUACUGUUUUAACGUCCCUUCUAGACCCCUCCCGACGUUGAAUUGAAUAACUUGUAUCGCAAGUACUCCUUCUUCUUUCGUGUCCAUCUUCCGUGUUUCAAAUGUUGACCUCGCUGCCAUCGUUCGUCCUGAAAAGGGCGCAAACAUCCGGCGCCAAUCAGUGGGAGCCAUCACUUGUCGCAAUAGAUCAGUGGUUGGCAACCCUGUUCUGCAUAGGGACCGGGACUCAUGUCUGUGAGUGGAUGGCGGAACUCAUCUACCACGUGUACACAUGUAUCCCGCCCCUUCGAGGACUCCACCCGGAGCACUGAGCUCAAAUACUCACACUCGCUCGUCCCCGGCCUACGGACAACCCCGAUCCCGACAGCGAAGCCCAGACGCAGAAGGUGCAGGAUGCGAUACCACCAAAUCACCUUCCAGGUACCGGAGGUAGAAAAAAAAUGCUGGAGGAACUCACUCCAGCAUUUUUUUACUACCAUCGAUUUUUCAGCGUCUGCAGUUAUUUCUUAAACAUUUCAGGUACCGGAGAUGACGGAAGUCUGCGGGCCGGAUGAUUUCGGGUUACGGGCCGGAUUCGGCCCGGGGGCCACAGGUUGCCGACCCCUGCAAUAGAUGGUGGUGGUAGCAGAUUUAGCUCGGGAUACUUCCAGCUUCCAGCCCCCGCGACGUGGACACUUCUGCUAUGGGGCCACACGUACUUCACAUCAGGAGUUUUAUUGUCGGGUUUUAUCGUAUUGCACAAUUAAAUGUCCUCUGGUGCGGGCGAACUUUGGGUGUGUGAGUUGGUGUUUGCAUUAUUUCACGAUUUACAGGACAAAACUGGUGCGGUGAAGUGGCGGUCUCCGAUGUUUGAAGGCGUAAGAAGAUUGUUCCAAUAUUUAUUCAUGGCCUUUUAUAAUUGAUGGGAAUGGCAUCCAUCUUAAACUUGGUGGCACUUGCUAUGGGAAUAUGGUAGAUUGUCUGAAUGAAGAUACUGCACAUGGACAGCUUACGACUCUACAAAAUAAAGCAGUUUUGAAUUCUU